Molecule: ribosomal RNA, 229 nt
Filed under: uncultured bacterium
Lineage: Bacteria
Description: partial 16S ribosomal RNA
Rfam family: Bacterial small subunit ribosomal RNA
Source: RNAcentral
UACGGAGGGUGCGAGCGUUGUCCGGAAUCAUUGGGCGUAAAGGGCGCGUAGGUGGCGGCUUAAGCGUGCGGUGAAAGCUCGGGGCUCAACCCCGAGUCGGCCGUGCGAACUGAGUCGCUUGAGCACUGUAGAGGCAGGCGGAAUUCCGGGUGUAGCGGUGGAAUGCGUAGAGAUCCGGAAGAACACCGGUGGCGAAGGCGGCCUGCUGGGCAGUGCUGACACUGAGGCG